Molecule: long non-coding RNA, 345 nt
Filed under: Brassica napus (rape)
Lineage: Eukaryota; Viridiplantae; Streptophyta; Magnoliopsida; Brassicales; Brassicaceae
Description: long non-coding RNA (BNAP_LNC020686)
Source: RNAcentral
GGCUUUCAAUUUUUAAUCAUCGGUUCAUGACUCAUCUAAGAAAUACAGAUUGGCUCUUUGAGUUUCAUGAAUCAGUUUUUCUUCUUUAGUCUCUACAUCUCCCCAUCUUUAAUAAAUUCAUCAUCGGUUCUUUUAUUUUGCCUGAUAAAUCAUGAUUGUGUGGUUUUUAUUUUCUUUGGUCAUCCUUAGCUUGCACCCUUUGAUCUAACCAAGAAGAAGUCAUUUGUCAUUCAAGAUGUCAUCGAGGACUCAGCUGAGUCACACGGGAGACAUACUAUCUGUUGCCUGAUUGUUCAAGAAGAGUAUAUGUGCUGUGAAACAUAUUUGUUUCUUUUCAUCAGUUGC